UUAGUAGUUCGAGUAAUCGCUGGUUAGUAAUAAUCAGAGGAAAGUCCGGACUCCAUAUGGGCAUGGUGCCAGGUAAUGCCUGGGAGGUGUGAACCUACGACUAGUGCAACAGAAAGUAAACCGCCGACUUGUCGGUAAGGGUGAAACGGUGAGGUAAGAGCUCACCAGGCAGUCCAGCAAUGGCUGUGCUUGGUAAACUCCACCAGGAGCAAGAUCAAAUAGGCGUUCGCAUAAUUCGCCCAUAGUUUGAACGCGGGUAGAUCGCUUGAAGUUAGUAGUGAUGCUAACUCUAGAUGAAUGAUUACAUAAAACAGAAUCCGGCUUACGGAAUAACUAAAACC
This 341-nucleotide RNase P RNA is filed under the name Psittacicella hinzii. RNAcentral's name for it is "Bacterial RNase P class A". It matches the Rfam family "Bacterial RNase P class A". Rfam says of the family: Ribonuclease P (RNase P) is a ubiquitous endoribonuclease, found in archaea, bacteria and eukarya as well as chloroplasts and mitochondria. Its best characterised activity is the generation of mature 5'-ends of tRNAs by cleaving the 5'-leader elements of precursor-tRNAs. Cellular RNase Ps are ribonucleoproteins. Lineage: Bacteria; Pseudomonadati; Pseudomonadota; Gammaproteobacteria; Pasteurellales; Psittacicellaceae. The record is from Rfam by way of RNAcentral.